RNAcentral lists this ribosomal RNA (383 nucleotides) under uncultured eukaryote. RNAcentral describes it as "partial 18S ribosomal RNA". It matches the Rfam family "Eukaryotic small subunit ribosomal RNA", at positions 592 to 976 of the family's 1831-position model. The record is from RNAcentral.
CAAUAGCGUAUAUUAAAGUUGUUGCAGUUAAAAAGCUCGUAGUUGGAUUUCUGGUGGGAGCGAUCGGUCUGGCGCUUAGCGCGAGUACUUGCAUCGUCUCCGGCCAUCCUUGGGGAGAGUCUGUCUGGCAUUAGGUUGUCGGGCAGAGGAUCCUCAUCGUUUACUGUGAAAAAAUUAGAGUGUUCUAAGCAGGCUUAUGCCGUUGAAUAUAUUAGCAUGGAAUAAUAAGAUAGGACUUUGGUACUAUUUUGUUGGUUUGCGCACCAAAGUAAUGAUUAAUAGGGACAGUUGGGGGUAUUCGUAUUCCGUUGUCAGAGGUGAAAUUCUUGGAUUUACGGAAGACGAACUACUGCGAAAGCAUUUACCAAGGAUGUUUUCAUUAA